AUGGUCCUACGGGAGGCAGCAGUGGGGAAUAUUGCACAAUGGGGGAAACUCUGAUGCAGCAACGCCGCGUGAGUGAAGAAGUCAUUCGUGAUGUAAAGCUCUAUCAGCAGGGAAGAAAAUGACGGUACCUGAGUAAGAAGCCCCGGCUAACUACGUGCCAGCAGCCGCGGUAAUACGUAGGGGGCAAGCGUUAUCCGGAUUUACUGGGUGUAAAGGGAGCGUAGACGGCCAGACAAGUCUGAAGUGAAAAUCCAUCGCUUCACGUUGGCAGAGCUUUGGAAACUGCCGGGCUGGAGUGCAGGUGG
This 305-nucleotide ribosomal RNA is filed under the name uncultured bacterium. RNAcentral's name for it is "bacterial SSU rRNA". It matches the Rfam family "Bacterial small subunit ribosomal RNA", at positions 333 to 655 of the family's 1533-position model. The record is from RNAcentral.